RNAcentral lists this ribosomal RNA (503 nucleotides) under uncultured Desulfobulbaceae bacterium. Its description in RNAcentral is "bacterial SSU rRNA". It matches the Rfam family "Bacterial small subunit ribosomal RNA", at positions 29 to 506 of the family's 1533-position model. Lineage: Bacteria; Pseudomonadati; Thermodesulfobacteriota; Desulfobulbia; Desulfobulbales; Desulfobulbaceae. The record is from RNAcentral.
AACGAACGCUGGCGGCGUGCUUAACACAUGCAAGUCGAACGCGAACGAGUUCUUCGGAACUUUAGUAGAGUGGCGCACGGGUGAGUAACGCGUAAGUAAUCUGUCCCUGCAUCUGGGAUAACUACGGGAAACUGUAGCUAAUACCGGAUACGUUUAUCUAUUUGCGAAUAGAUACAGAAAGGUGGCCUCUUCAUGAAAGCUACUGUGCAAGGAGGAGCUUGCGUACCAUUAGCUAGUUGGUGGGGUAAUGGCCUACCAAGGCAACGAUGGUUAGCGGGUCUGAGAGGAUGAUCCGCCACACUGGAACUGGAACACGGACCAGACUCCUACGGGAGGCAGCAGUGAGGAAUAUUGCGCAAUGGGGGAAACCGCUGACGCAGCGACGCCGCGUGGAUGAUGAAGGCUUUCGGGUCGUAAAAUCCUGUCAGAUGGAAAGAAAUGCUAAUUGGCUAAUACCCUUUUAGUUUGACGGUACCAUCAGAGGAAGCACCGGCUAACUCCGU